UCCCGUUGAUCCUGCGGGAGGUCGCUGCUAUUUGGAUUCGAUUUAGCCAUGCAAGUCAGGUAGCAAUACCGGCAUAAGGCUCAGUAACACGUCGAUAAUCUGCCCUAUGGUCUGGGAUAUCCUUGGGAAACUGAGGUUAAUACCGGAUGGGAGAUAUGUACUGGAAUUGUUAUAUCUCUGAAAAGCAAUGCCAUAGGAUGAGUCGGCGGCUGAUUAGGCUGUUGGUGAGGUAACGGCUCACCAAACCGAUGAUCAGUAGGGGGGAUGAGAGUCCUAGCCCCGAGAAGGGCACUGAGAUACUGGCCCUAGCCCUAAGGGGUGCAGCAGGCGCGAAACCUUUACACUGCACGAAAGUGUGAUAAGGGGAUCCAGAGUGCUUCUGCUUUGCAGAGGCUUUUAUCGAGUGUAAAAAGCUCGGUGAAUAAGGAGUGGGUAAGACCGGUGCCAGCAGCCGCGGUAACCCCGGCGCUCCAAGUGGGGACCAUGUUUAUUGGGUCUAAAGCGUUCGUAGCCGGCUUGGAAAAUCUCGUGUGAAAUUGUUGCGCUUAACGUAACAACGGGCACAAGACACUACCAGGCUUGGGACCGGGAGGGGAUAGGAGUAUUCCAAGGGGAGCGGUAAAAUGUGAUAAUCCUUGGAGGACUACCUGUGGCGGAGGCGCCUAUCCAGAACGGCUCCGACGGUGAGGAACGAAGGCUAGGGGAUCAAAACGGAUUAGAUACCCGAGUAGUCCUAGCAGUAAACGCUGUGAGCUGGGUGAUGCGUGUUUUUUUGAGAACAUGCAGUGCCUAAACGAAGGUGUUAAGCUCACCACCUGGGAAGUAUGGUCGCAAGACUGAAACUUAAAGGAAUUGGCGGGGGCUCACUACAACGGGAGGUAUAUGCGGUUUAAUUGGAUUCUACUCCGGAAAUCUCACCAGGGGCGACGGCAGGAUGAAGGUCAGAUUGAAGGUUUUACCUGACAAGCCGAGAGGUGGUGCAUGGCCGUCGUCAGUUCGUCCCGUGAGGUGUCCUGUUAAGUCAGGCAACGAACGCGACCUGCGUCUACAUUUGCCACCAGGCUUAUGCGACUGAGCACAAUGUAGAGACUGCCUUCGAAAGAUGGAGGAAGGUGCAGGCAACGAUAGGUCAGUAUGCCCCGAAUCUCCUGGGCUACACGCGUGUAACAAUGGUAUGAACAAUGGGAUGCAACUCCGAGAGGAGGAGCUAAUCCUCUAAAUCAUGCCCUAGUUCGGAUUGAGGGCUGUAACUCGCCCUCAUGAAGCUGGAUUCCGUAGUAAUCGGGUUUCAACAUGGCCCGGUGAAUACGUCCCUGAGCCUUGCACACACUGCCCGUCAAGCCAACCGAGCAGGGUUUGGGUGAGGCCCUAUCUUCUUGAUAGGCUCAAACCUAAAUUCAGUGAGGUGGGC
Molecule: ribosomal RNA, 1411 nt
Filed under: groundwater metagenome
Description: bacterial SSU rRNA
Rfam family: Archaeal small subunit ribosomal RNA
Source: RNAcentral